CAAGCGCCAUUUUAACAUCUUUUCAGUGUGAUCCUAGAAAUGUAAUGAAUAAUGGAAUUAAAACUUUAUAAUUUCAGAAGUAUGGACCGGUAUAAAUCUGAUAAAAAAAAUGAAUUGUUUCGGAGAGCUGUAAUGGAGUUUAUGUCAGAAAAAUCCAGACCUUAGAAACUUCUUGACUGCGUAGUUCUCGUAGAGCAUGCACUCCACGUCGUCUGUGGAAGGCUCUGGUUGUCUUCAGUUGGAGAGAGAGAGUGGAGAGGCUUCCUUCAUCAUCACCGGAACUGGAACCCUCACUUCAGUUGUGUUAAACUUCAGUUAUUUCAGCUUCAAGAUUUUUGUGUAAAUAAGUUCAUGUAAACAAAAAUGGGAGCAGAAGAGAUACUUAUUAAAAGAGAAAAUGAAGACAGUGUAACUUUAGACAAAGAGGAAUUUGAUAUUUUGAAGGUAAAGCAUGGAUGUUCAUUCAUGAAAGUUUAGUAUCUCAAAUUCACUACAAAGAGAUCCAAUCCUAGAAAAGGGUCAUUAAAAUGCCAAUCUAUUGAUCUGUAUUUUUACUUUAAAAGGUAAUAAGUAGAAGAACUUAUAUUUACUAAAGGUCUGAACUUUGAUCAAGAAUCAUCCUUUCAAGGGGUGUCUGGUUGGCUCAGUAGGUUAAGCGUCCAACUCUUGAUUUCAUCUCAGGUCAUGAUCUCAUGAUUCAUGGGAUCCAGCCCUGUGUUGGGCUCUGCACUGAUUGAGCAAAGCCUGCUUAGGAUUCUUUCUCUCUCU
Neofelis nebulosa (Clouded leopard) is the source of this 768-nucleotide long non-coding RNA. RefSeq lists it as uncharacterized. NCBI's taxonomy places the organism in Eukaryota, Metazoa, Chordata, Mammalia, Carnivora, Felidae. The transcript is spliced from 3 exons. The record is from RefSeq and is a predicted model, not a curated record.